UACAUGUCAAGUCGAGCGGACCGAAUAGAAGCUUGCUUCUGUUUGGUUAGCGGCGGACGGGUGAGUAACACGUGGGCAACCUGCCCGUAAGACGGGGAUAACUUCGGGAAACCGGAGCUAAUACCCGAUAACCCUGAAGACCGCAUGGUCUUUAGUUGAAAGGCGGCUUCGGCUGUCACUUACGGAUGGGCCCGCGGCGCAUUAGCUAGUUGGUGAGGUAACGGCUCACCAAGGCGACGAUGCGUAGCCGACCUGAGAGGGUGAUCGGCCACACUGGGACUGAGACACGGCCCAGACUCCUACGGGAGGCAGCAGUAGGGAAUCUUCCGCAAUGGACGAAAGUCUGACGGAGCAACGCCGCGUGAGCGAAGAAGGUCUUCGGAUUGUAAAGCUCUGUUGUUAGGGAAGAACAAGUGUGGUUCGAAUAGGGCCGUACCUUGACGGUACCUAACGAGAAAGCCACGGCUAACUACGUGCCAGCAGCCGCGGUAAUACGUAGGUGGCAAGCGUUGUCCGGAAUUAUUGGGCGUAAAGCGCGCGCAGGCGGUUCCUUAAGUCUGAUGUGAAAGCCCACGGCUCAACCGUGGAGGGUCAUUGGAAACUGGGGGACUUGAGUGCAGAAGAGGAGAGCGGAAUUCCACGUGUAGCGGUGAAAUGCGUAGAGAUGUGGAGGAACACCAGUGGCGAAGGCGGCUCUCUGGUCUGUAACUGACGCUGAGGCGCGAAAGCGUGGGGAGCAAACAGGAUUAGAUACCCUGGUAGUCCACGCCGUAAACGAUGAGUGCUAAGUGUUAGAGGGUAUCCACCCUU
This 810-nucleotide ribosomal RNA is filed under the name Anoxybacteroides rupiense. Its description in RNAcentral is "bacterial SSU rRNA". It matches the Rfam family "Bacterial small subunit ribosomal RNA", at positions 52 to 840 of the family's 1533-position model. The record is from RNAcentral. Lineage: Bacteria; Bacillati; Bacillota; Bacilli; Caryophanales; Anoxybacillaceae.